UACGAAGGUCCCAAGCGUUAUCCGGAUUUAUUGGGUUUAAAGGGUGCGUAGGCGGCUUAUUAAGUCAGUGGUGAAAGCCCCAAGCUUAACUUGGGAAUUGCCAUUGAUACUGAUGAGCUUGAGUAGAUUUGAGGCGGGCGGAAUGUGUCGUGUAGCGGUGAAAUGCUUAGAUAUGACACAGAACACCGAUUGCGUAGGCAGCUCGCUAAACUCUUACUGACGCUGAGGCACGAAAGCAUGGGGAUCAAACAGG
RNAcentral lists this ribosomal RNA (253 nucleotides) under uncultured bacterium. Its description in RNAcentral is "partial 16S ribosomal RNA". It matches the Rfam family "Bacterial small subunit ribosomal RNA", at positions 524 to 776 of the family's 1533-position model. The record is from RNAcentral.